RNAcentral lists this unclassified non-coding RNA (215 nucleotides) under Hevea brasiliensis (rubber tree). The record is from RNAcentral. Lineage: Eukaryota; Viridiplantae; Streptophyta; Magnoliopsida; Malpighiales; Euphorbiaceae.
GAAAUAUCAACAUCUCCCCAUCUUGUAAAAAGAUUUGAUACAAAAGAUCCGAAUGGCUCUACAGUUGCCCCUCUCAGGAUUUCUAUGCUUUCAACCACAGCUCGAAGUUCGUGAAUGAGUUGAAAUCGCAUAGACCAAUCCUCCUCUGAGGGAUUGAUGGAGUGAAGUAUAUUCUGAAGAGUAUGCUCCAACAAGCUGUAGCCAUUCAUUUUGAG